CAUUUUUUUUACGGUUGCUACGAGUCUUUAAUUUAAUUAUUAACAACCAUUUGAUUGGGUUGCUAGCAACCACUUGAAUUUGGUUACUAUGAAACUACUUACGGAAAUCAAAUCGAUAUGGUCACUUGUUUAAUUUUUAAACAAAUCAAGAAAAGAAAAGAAAAUAAAAGAAAGCUGUGGGCGAAAAUGAAAAUAAUGAAAAAAUACAGCCAUUAUCAUUCUUUCAUUUCUUCAUCACAAAACAUUACCCUGUUCACUCUCUCCUUACGCUCUCUUUCUCUCUCUUUACCAAUUCUCGCAUAAAACAAAAGUAGUAAAUUGCAACAAGAAGCAAACAUUGGAAUUGAAGACGAGGGCGUCCCAACCUCCGGCAUAAACAGACCUCUUUCCAAUAUUCUCAAAGAUUUGAACAAGAAAGUGCCCGAAACCCUCCUAAGGCACCGCACCCAUCCCGAUGGCUUCUCCUUCAAAUACAUCCCCUGGCACAUAUUGAAUCGGAUUAUGAACUUAAUUAUCUCUUAAUUUCUUCAUUAUGUUUGCACCAAAAUCUCUCUUAUCUUACCUCUUUUGUUUUCCCCAAAAGUAUUCACCUAUUUCACCCAAUGUCUCCAAGCCCUAGUUCCUACCCCUGUUCGAUAAUUUUCGAAUUCAAUAAAGGAGAUCAGGAAGAUUUGAUUACAGGAAAAGAAUUGGGGAUUUGAAAAGAUAAUUUCAGAUUUGGGUUUUAAGGAAAAAUAAUAGUUUGGAGACCUUCGAGAAUGAAUCUCGUCGAUCAGGACCCACCUUUGGAAUAAUUGUGAGUUCAGAUGUACAUCGGUGUUGGUGAUUUCUGGCAAAGGUCGCCGAUGGUGGCCGUAAUCUGGAGUUCAGCUUUUGGCUCUUCAAAGAAUUAAAUGAACGGUGGAGUAUUGAUGAUAGAAGGUACUGUUACAAACCUCGAGAAGUUAGCUUCCCAGUAAUGGUGGUGCUAGGCAGUUUUAUUCGGCGGUGGUCGUCGAAAUUUGGUGUGAAAUUCAGCCUGCUCGCCGGAAAGGGAAAUAAAAUCUGCUACCGCAUCUGUUUUCGGAGCCGAAAUCGAAAGGUUUGGAGUGUGAAUUUGGUAAUCAUUCCUUCUCGAAACUCGUAGAGGACCUCGAAAACUGUGUGUCAUUCGUGGUUGUGUACCUAAGAAAAUUUUGGUCUAUGAUGUUGCUUUUGGUGCUAACUCGAGAUGAGAAGACUUUGUUGUUUGUGAAAGACUUUGUUAGUUAUUUCUUCAAGUUAUAUAACCAAAUUUAACACGACAGCUAUGUUGGCGAAAUUCAGAGAAAUAGUAAACCUUCUGCCGCACCUGUUUUCGGAGCCGAAAUCGAAGGGUUUCGAGUGAGAUUUUCGAAUCAGUCUCUUCACAAAACUCGUCGAGGACCGUGAUAAUUAUAUGUUGGACUGUUUGAUGAAGUGAAAGAACGUUAUCGUGGAAGUCAUAUUUGUUGUCGCUUAACAAUUUAUGAAGUGGAAUUUAUUAUGAAAUAAUUACAGUCAUCUUUCUUAUUAUUUGGAAUGAUUGAUUUAUUAUUGUAUUUAGUAUGAUAGAUUGAAAUUAUAAUA
Non-coding RNA from Erythranthe guttata (spotted monkey flower), 1587 nucleotides. The record is from RefSeq and is a predicted model, not a curated record. Lineage: Eukaryota; Viridiplantae; Streptophyta; Magnoliopsida; Lamiales; Phrymaceae.